RNAcentral lists this long non-coding RNA (1046 nucleotides) under Lynx pardinus (Iberian lynx). Lineage: Eukaryota; Metazoa; Chordata; Mammalia; Carnivora; Felidae. The record is from RNAcentral.
GCAAAGUCUGCGCGAUCGGUUAGUGCUAUGGGCUAGGGCGGGGCUGGGGGCGGGGCUUGGCAGAACUGGACCAAUGGAGGUGAGGGCAAGCGCGGGCUGGAGGAAGUGGAUCUGGCGCGGGCUUUAAUAAAUCAAAAUUGCCCGCUGCGUUUGAGUUUUUAAGCCUUCUCACGGAUCUCAUUUUCGCAGCUCUCAGGAGGGCCUUCAAUGGUCAUUUCCAAUAUUCAUCUUUUUGAGAAGUGAAUUGCCAUGUUACUUCCAAUGAAUCACAAUGUCGGGACAAUAAUGAAGCUUAGUAGUUUUCAAACUUUUUUUUUAAACAACUUACUCUGUUAAAAGACAUUUUCUGGAAUUUCCAUAAUUGCAGCAGCUGUGGAGCCACACACUCCUCUCCAGCUUUGUCCCCCUCCCCCGAUCUGUGCACAACCCCUUGAAUGCUCAAAAACAAAGCUGGAAAACCAGUGAUCCAGUCCAGUUCCUUCAUGUGUACCGAGGGGGAUCUUGAAGCCCAGGGAGGAAAGGUAUCUACUCUGAGACCCUUUGACUUGUCUUGCAGGAGUCCGCUGUGGAAGGCACAUCACGUCCCACGGCCUGGCUCUGAACUGUUGUACAGACCUCGUGUGGUUUGAGCACAUCGUCCCCUGCGGGUUGGUUGGGACAGGCGUCACCUCUCUGAGUGAGGAACUCCAACGGCACGUCAGUGUGGAUGAAGUAAUACCACCUUUCCUUGAGGCCUUUAGGGAGACCUACAAAUGCACAUUUAUCUCAGAGGACAGCCCCAACUAAAGGAUGUUCAUGUUAUCACAGCUGGGAGGUUGUGCUUGAAAAGCACCAAGCCUGACUUGGAGUCACUGAAACCCAGAUUCUAGACCUGGCCCUGUCAUUCACUCACCAUGAGACUAUGAACAAAUUAUGAGCCCUUAGCAUUGUUUCCAUAUGUGUCCUGGUUUAUUUAUAUCUUCUCAUCUACCUCAGAUAUAGUAGAUUUGAAAACAUUUUGAAAAGCAACACAUGCUAUAUAAAUGUAAGACAUUAGCACUGGUAUU